GUCACAACUUUUAACAGCAAAGGCGAAACAAUCUCCAAGUUUCUUUUUUUCCAUGGCCUAUCAUGGAAAUGCUAAGAUAAAAAGACAAAAUUUAACCAGAGCUGGGAAAGCAAGAUAACUCUACAGCUGAAAGACUAGACUUCCCCUGCUCACUCAGGGGCCAGCUCAGUUCCACAGCCUGCUGGACAUGGAGAGGUCUCCAGGGAACCCGGACUUCAGCCCCAUGGAAGCUGUCCCUGCACAGAUGAGUGCAGGCAUCCAGGCAGAGGCCAAAGGAGACGCCACAUGCCCGCCGCAUGCCACUGAAUAACCAUGCAGGUUUGGCCUCCCCGAUUGACUCUGCAUAAGUGCCAUAGUUCUAUUAUUUGCAAUCAGUAACAAAGAUUCAUCCUGUGUCAAUUGCACAACACGGAGAGUCUUUGUCACUCAGUGUGAUUAAUAGCCUUCCACUCGAAUGGGAAAGUGGGAGAAGGGGGCUUGCUCUCUGUAUGUGACUCGGCGCUUGAGAGGAGGCGUCACUGGAUCCUUCUGCCUUCCGACACAAUUCGACGCCAGAACUCCAGCUGCCGUGGGAAAGGGGGAGGCAGAGUGUGUCUGGUGGGGCUGGGCAGAGUGUUCAGUUAGUGAGUGCUUGACAAGUCAGCCAGAGGACCCGAGUUCUGUCCCUGGAACCCACAAAGAAAGGCACACAUGUGAUCCAAGCACUGGAGAAGCAGAGAUAAGCAGAUUCUUGGGGUCGCUGGCCAGCCAUCUUAGCCUCAUUAGCAAGCUCCAGGCCAGUGAGAGACUCUGACUCCAAAAGAGUGGACAGAGCCUGAGGAACUGUACCCAACAUUGACCUUUGGCCUCCACAUGCACACAUGCGCGCACACACACACACUUAUACACACAUGUAUGCCUGUACAUGCACACAUGUGCACAUACACACACUUAUACACACAUGUAUGCCUGUACAUGCACACAUGUGCACAUACACACACUUAUACACACAUGUAUGCCUGUACAUGCACACAUGUGCACAUACACACACACACUUAUACACACAUGUAUGCCUGUACACACACUGGCAUGCACUUACGAACACACAUGCGCUGAGUGAGAGAACGCAUGCUCCUCAAGAGCCUACUUCAGAGUGGGCUACGAAUUCACUCAGAAACCUAACGGAGAAAGUUAACAGGCUCAGACUUCAAAAGACAGCACUAAAAACAGGCUUGAAGGUCCAGGAAUGGGGCCACUUAUGGUGGGUUCAACCCUCCUACAUCAAUUAACAAUUAAAACUGCUCCCACAGACAUACCCACAGGCCAAUCCGAGCUAAGCAAUCCCCCAGGGAGAUCUCCUUCUCAGGCAACUACAGCCUGUGUCAGCUUUACAGCUAAAGCCAACUUGGGUGCCAUGCUUUGUGACAAAUAUGCCAUUUUACUAAACAGAAUUCAGGGUGCACUUAAAAAUAAUAGAUUUGCAUGCACAACUUUAAUUCCUCCUCCUGGCAACCCAUUUUUAGUUGAGGUAUUCCUAAGUGCGUGACCUCACCUCAAAGGCUUUCUCUCAUUGUACAACUGAUUAGUCGCGUGUGUGUGUGCAGGUCUCUGUGUGUAUGUAACACAUAUAUGUGUGCAGACGUUACAUGUACACGAGAGCACACGUGUGGAGGCCAGGCAUUGAUGUUGGGAGUCUUCCCGACCUCUCCACACCUUAUUGCCUGUGGCAGGGUCUUUCCACUGGACCCAGUGCUAAUCAGUAUGAUGGGUCCAGCUAACCAGUUUCUAUGUACUGGAAUCAUAGGCAGGCUCCCACACGUACACACCUGCCAUCUACACAGGCAGACUCCCACACGUACACACCUGCCGUCUGCACAGGCAGACUCCCACACGUACACACCUGCCGUCUGCACAGGCAGACUCCCACAUGUGCACACCUGCCGUCUACAUGAGUUCUGAG
Molecule: long non-coding RNA, 1939 nt
Filed under: Cricetulus griseus (Chinese hamster)
Lineage: Eukaryota; Metazoa; Chordata; Mammalia; Rodentia; Cricetidae
Description: lncRNA (ENSCGRG00015040479.1)
Rfam family: mir-802 microRNA precursor family (bases 356-448)
Source: RNAcentral